GCUCAGAACUUACAGGAAUUGACGGGGCCGCACAAGCGGAGGAGCAUGUGGUUUAAUUCGAUGAUACGCGAGGAACCUUACCUGGGCUCGAACGUAAGAUGACUGUAGGUGAAAGCUUACAUCUCUUCGGAGCAUUUUACGAGGUGCUGCAUGGUUGUCGUCAGCUCGUGCCGUGAGGUGUCGGGUUAAGUCCCAUAACGAGCGCAACCCCUACCUUUAGUUGCCAUCAGGUAAUGCUGGGGACUCUAAAGGAACUGCCUACGCAAGUAGUGAGGAAGGCGGGGAUGACGUCAAAUCAGCACGGCCCUUACGUCCAGGGCUACACACGUGCUACAAUGGCCGAUACAGAGGGCAGCUACCUGGUGACAGGAUGCAAAUCUCCAAAGUCGGUCUCAGUUCGGAUCGGAGUCUGCAACCCGACUCCGUGAAGUUGGAUUCGCUAGUAAUCGCGCAUCAGCCAUGGCGCGGUGAAUACGUUCCCGGGCCUU
Molecule: ribosomal RNA, 488 nt
Filed under: uncultured Sphingobacteriales bacterium
Lineage: Bacteria; Pseudomonadati; Bacteroidota; Sphingobacteriia; Sphingobacteriales
Description: bacterial SSU rRNA
Rfam family: Bacterial small subunit ribosomal RNA
Source: RNAcentral